This 1794-nucleotide long non-coding RNA is filed under the name Homo sapiens (human). Its description in RNAcentral is "non-protein coding lnc-BIRC6-3:1". The record is from RNAcentral. Lineage: Eukaryota; Metazoa; Chordata; Mammalia; Primates; Hominidae.
AUUUCAUUUUUUUCCUGGUAAAUUACUUCCUCUGGUAUGGUCUUGCCUUGGAUUGUUUAUGUUGAAACUAACAUUGUAAGAUCCAUCUCUAUUAAAAAAAAUAAGAAAUUAUUAGUGACUUUAAAAAAGUAAUGAAAUAUUACUUUGGGCAUAAUUAUAUUUCUGUCUUUAUAUGUUCUGUUUAUGUUUUUAGCAACACAAAAUUUGAAUGUAAGAUUCCUAUUUCUUUUUUUUUUUUUUUUUCCACAAGGUUUUGCUCUGUUGCCCAAGCUGAAGUGCACUGGUAUGAAUUAUCACUGUGGCCAUGCUGAUUGCAAAUAACUAUGCUCAUAAUGCUUCCAGGUUCAGUGCUAUCAGCAAGUCUCUCCCACCCUGGGUUCUAACCACCCCCGACCUUGGAAAGAGAGGGAGAGGGAGACGGUGGAAAGAGAGGGAGAGGGAGACCGUGGGGAGCAGUAGUAGAGUUGCUGGAUCGUAUGGUAGCUCUAUAUUCAGAAUUUUGAGGAUCUGCCAGACUGUUUUCCAAAGUACCAUUUUAGGCCGGGUGUGGUGGCUCACGCCUGUAAUCCCAACACUUUGGGAGGCCAAGGCCGGUGGAUCACUUGUGGCCAGGAGUUCAAGACCAGCCUGGCCAACAUGGUAAAACCCCAUGUCUCCUAAAAAUAUAAAAAUUAGCUGGGCGUGAUGACGCAUGCCGUGGUCCCAGCUACUCAGGAGGCUGAGGCGGGAGAAUCACUUGAACCUGGGAGGCGGAGGUCGCAGUGAGCAGAGAUUGCGCCACCUUACUCCAGCCUGGGUGACAGAGCAAGAUUCUGUCUCAAAAAAAAAACAAACAAAUAAAAAACAAAGUACCAUUAGUCCCACUAGCAAUGUAUGAGGGUUCCAGUUUCUCAACAUCCUUGACAACACUUGUUACUAGCUGUCUUUUUUAUUAUAUCUGUUCUAGUGGGUGGCAUCUCAUUGUGGUUCAAUUUGCAUGUUUUGGAUGGCUAAUGAUGUUGAGCAUCUUUUCACAUGCUUCUUGGCCAUUCGUAUAUCCUCUUUGGAAAUGUCUAUUCACAUCCUUACCCAUUUUUAAAAUUGGGUCAUGUAUCCUUUUAUCAUUGAGUUGUAAGAGUUCUUUCUAUAUUCUAGCUACAAGUCCCUUGUCAGACAAAUGAUUUGCAAAUAUUUUCUCCCAUUCUGUUAAGUUUUUUUUUUUUCUCUCUAUUGAUUGUGCACUUUAAAGCACAAAAGCCUAAUCUUGAUGAGGUCCAACUUACCUGUUUUUUCUUUUGUUGCUCAUACUUUUGGUACAAUAUCUAAGAAUCCAUUGCCAAAUCCAAAGUCACAAAGAUGUACUCCUAUCUUUUCUGCUAGGAGUUUUAUAGUUUUAACUCUUUCAUUAAGGUCUAGGGACCAUUUUAAGUUAAUUUUAUUUAUGAUAUAAGGAAGGGGUCCAACUUCAUUCUUUUACAUGUAGAUAUCCAGUUGUCUCAAAACUUUGUUGAAAAGACUAUUCUUUUCCUAUUAAUAGUCUUGUCACUCUGGUCAAAAAUCAGUUUACUGUAAAUGUAAGUGGUCAAAAAUUAAUUGACUGUAAUGUAAGGAUGUAUUUAUGGUCCAUCAAUCACAUUUCAUUGACUGUAUGUCACAUUUCAUUGACUAUAGGUCUGUGCAUAUUCCACUGUCUUGUUUACAGAAACUUUGUAGUAAGUUUUGAAAAUGCUGUGAGUACUCCAACUUUGUUCUUCCUUUACAAGAUAGUUUUGGCUAUUCAGCAUUCCUUGAAUUUUCCUAUGGGAUUUUUAGCUU